GAGUUUGAUCUUGGCUCAGAUUGAACGCUGGCGGCAGGCCUAACACAUGCAAGUCGAGCGGAUGACGGGAGCUUGCUCCUUGAUUCAGCGGCGGACGGGUGAGUAAUGCCUAGGAAUCUGCCUGGUAGUGGGGGACAACGUUUCGAAAGGAACGCUAAUACCGCAUACGUCCUACGGGAGAAAGCAGGGGACCUUCGGGCCUUGCGCUAUCAGAUGAGCCUAGGUCGGAUUAGCUAGUUGGUGGGGUAAUGGCUCACCAAGGCGACGAUCCGUAACUGGUCUGAGAGGAUGAUCAGUCACACUGGAACUGAGACACGGUCCAGACUCCUACGGGAGGCAGCAGUGGGGAAUAUUGGACAAUGGGCGAAAGCCUGAUCCAGCCAUGCCGCGUGUGUGAAGAAGGUCUUCGGAUUGUAAAGCACUUUAAGUUGGGAGGAAGGCAGUAAGUUAAUACCUUGCUGUUUUGACGUUACCGACAGAAUAAGCACCGGCUAACUCUGUGCCAGCAGCCG
RNAcentral lists this ribosomal RNA (512 nucleotides) under bacterium enrichment culture clone ALO1_GLFRUDD03FLB4G. Its description in RNAcentral is "bacterial SSU rRNA". It matches the Rfam family "Bacterial small subunit ribosomal RNA", at positions 9 to 517 of the family's 1533-position model. The record is from RNAcentral.